This 301-nucleotide ribosomal RNA is filed under the name uncultured bacterium. RNAcentral's name for it is "partial 16S ribosomal RNA". It matches the Rfam family "Bacterial small subunit ribosomal RNA", at positions 509 to 807 of the family's 1533-position model. The record is from RNAcentral.
CAGUAGCCGCGGUAAUACGUAGGUGGCAAGCGUUGUCCGGAAUUAUUGGGCGUAAAGGGCUCGCAGGCGGUUUCUUAAGUCUGAUGUGAAAGCCCCUGGCUCAACCGGGGAGGGUCAUUGGAAACUGGGAAACUUGAGUGCAGAAGAGGAGAGUGGAAUUCCACGUGUAGCGGUGAAAUGCGUAGAGAUGUGGAGGAACACCAGUGGCGAAGGCGACUCUCUGGUCUGCAACUGACGCUGAGGAGCGAAAGCGUGGGGAGCGAACAGGAUUAGAUACCCCCGUAGUCCCUGUCUCUUAUAC